GAUGAACGCUAGCUACAGGCUUAACACAUGCAAGUCGAGGGGAAACGGCAUUAAGUGCUUGCACUUUUUGGACGUCGACCGGCGCACGGGUGAGUAACGCGUAUCCAACCUUCCCAUGACUAAGGGAUAACCUGCCGAAAGGCAGACUAAUACCUUAUGGUCUUCACUGACGGCAUCAGAUGUGAAGUAAAGAUUUAUCGGUUAUGGAUGGGGAUGCGUCUGAUUAGUUAGUUGGCGGGGUAACGGCCCACCAAGGCAACGAUCAGUAGGGGUUCUGAGAGGAAGGUCCCCCACAUUGGAACUGAGACACGGUCCAAACUCCUACGGGAGGCAGCAGUGAGGAAUAUUGGUCAAUGGGCGAGAGCCUGAACCAGCCAAGUAGCGUGCAGGACGACGGCCCUAUGGGUUGUAAACUGCUUUUGUAUGGGGAUAAAGUCAAUCACGUGUGAUUGUUUGCAGGUACCAUACGAAUAAGGACCGGCUAAUUCCGUGCCAGCAGCCGCGGUAAUACGGAAGGUCCGGGCGUUAUCCGGAUUUAUUGGGUUUAAAGGGAGCGUAGGCUGGAGAUUAAGUGUGUUGUGAAAUGUAGACGCUCAACGUCUGACUUGCAGCGCAUACUGGUUUCCUUGAGUACGCACAACGUUGGCGGAAUUCGUCGUGUAGCGGUGAAAUGCUUAGAUAUGACGAAGAACUCCGAUUGCGAAGGCAGCUGACGGGAGCGCAACCGACGCUGAAGCUCGAAGGUGCGGGUAUCGAACAGG
RNAcentral lists this ribosomal RNA (761 nucleotides) under Prevotella melaninogenica. Its description in RNAcentral is "bacterial SSU rRNA". It matches the Rfam family "Bacterial small subunit ribosomal RNA", at positions 28 to 776 of the family's 1533-position model. The record is from RNAcentral. Lineage: Bacteria; Pseudomonadati; Bacteroidota; Bacteroidia; Bacteroidales; Prevotellaceae.